UACGUAGGAGGCAAGCGUUAUCCGGAUUUACUGGGCGUAAAGAGGGAGCAGGCGGCUUUUCAAGUUGGAUGUAAAAUCUCCCGGCUCAACUGGGAGGGACCAUCCAAUACUGUUGAGCUAGAGGGCAGCAGAGGGAGGUGGAAUUCCCGGUGUAGUGGUGAAAUGCGUAGAUAUCGGGAGGAACACCAGUGGCGAAGGCGACCUCCUGGGCUGUUGCUGACGCUGAGGCCCAAAAGCGUGGGGAGCAAACAGGAUUAGAUACCCCAGUA
This 269-nucleotide ribosomal RNA is filed under the name uncultured prokaryote. Its description in RNAcentral is "partial 16S ribosomal RNA". It matches the Rfam family "Bacterial small subunit ribosomal RNA", at positions 524 to 792 of the family's 1533-position model. The record is from RNAcentral.